UUUAAAUUGAGAGUUUGAUCCUGGCUCAGGAUGAACGCUGGCGGCGUGCUUAACACAUGCAAGUCGAGCGAGGGAGCACCUUCGGGUGUGAACUAGCGGCGGACGGGUGAGUAACACGUGGGCAACCUGCCUUACAGAGGGGGAUAGCCUUCCG
This 154-nucleotide ribosomal RNA is filed under the name Clostridium cadaveris. Its description in RNAcentral is "16S rRNA. Bacterial SSU". It matches the Rfam family "Bacterial small subunit ribosomal RNA", at positions 1 to 153 of the family's 1533-position model. The record is from RNAcentral. Lineage: Bacteria; Bacillati; Bacillota; Clostridia; Eubacteriales; Clostridiaceae.